This 484-nucleotide ribosomal RNA is filed under the name uncultured bacterium. RNAcentral describes it as "partial 16S ribosomal RNA". It matches the Rfam family "Bacterial small subunit ribosomal RNA", at positions 30 to 507 of the family's 1533-position model. The record is from RNAcentral.
AUUGAACGCUGGCGGCAGGCCUAACACAUGCAAGUCGAGCGGAUGAAGGGAGCUUGCUCCUGGAUUCAGCGGCGGACGGGUGAGUAAUGCCUAGGAAUCUGCCUGGUAGUGGGGGAUAACGUCCGGAAACGGGCGCUAAUACCGCAUACGUCCUGAGGGAGAAAGUGGGGGAUCUUCGGACCUCACGCUAUCAGAUGAGCCUAGGUCGGAUUAGCUAGUUGGUGGGGUAAAGGCCUACCAAGGCGACGAUCCGUAACUGGUCUGAGAGGAUGAUCAGUCACACUGGAACUGAGACACGGUCCAGAGGCCUACGGGAGGCAGCAGGGGGGAAUAUUGGACAAUGGGCGGAAGCCUGAUCCAGCCAUGCCGCGUGUGUGAAGAAGGUCUUCGGAUUGUAAAGCACUUUAAGUGGGGAGGAAGGGCAGUAAGUUAAUACCUUGCUGUGUGGACGUUACCAACAGAAUAAGCACCGGCUAACUUCGUG